Molecule: unclassified non-coding RNA, 406 nt
Filed under: Hevea brasiliensis (rubber tree)
Lineage: Eukaryota; Viridiplantae; Streptophyta; Magnoliopsida; Malpighiales; Euphorbiaceae
Source: RNAcentral
GAAAAAGCCAUUUGGAUCCCUUGAAAUUUUAAGGUUCGAAAGCAUGCCACAAUGGCGGGAGUGGAUUUCUUAUGGUGAUGAAGCUUUCCCUCUUCUUCAAAAGCUUUCCAUCAAAAAAUGUCCCAACUUAACCAAUACCUUACCCAGUAAUCUUCCUUCAUUAACAAUGCUUGAGAUCCAGGGAUGCCAGCAGCUUGGGGCUUCACUUCCAAGGGCUCCAAUUAUUCUUUCAAUUAAAUUGGUGGAUGACUAUCGUAAUUUUUUGUUUGGGAAAAUGUCUUCUGGGUUGCAGCGUCUGAAAGUGGAAAGAUUCCAAUGCCACCCUUUUGAUCCUCUGCUGGUGCAAAUGGGUGGUCUUUCCACUAAUGUCGAUGAAAUUGAAAUCAGAAACUGCAAUGCACUUAAG